CUACGGGAGGCUGCAGUGAGGAAUAUUGCACAAUGGGGGGAACCCUGAUGCAGCAACGCCGCGUGGAGGAUGACGCAUUUCGGUGUGUAAACUCCUUUUAUAUGUCAAGAAAAUGACGGUAGCAUAUGAAUAAGCACCGGCUAACUCCGUGCCAGCAGCCGCGGUAAUACGGAGGGUGCAAGCGUUACUCGGAAUCACUGGGCGUAAAGGACGCGUAGGCGGGUUGGAAAGUCAGGUGUGAAAUCCUACAGCUUAACUGUAGAACUGCACUUGAAACUUUAAUCUAGAGUAUGGGAGGGGGAGAUGGAAUUAGUGGUGUAGGGGUAAAAUCCGUAGAUAUCACUAGGAAUACCUAAAGCGAAGGCGAUCUCCUGGAACAUUACUGACGCUAAGGCGUGAAAGCGUGGGGAGCAAACAGGAUUAGAUACCCGCGUAGUC
Molecule: ribosomal RNA, 438 nt
Filed under: uncultured bacterium
Lineage: Bacteria
Description: partial 16S ribosomal RNA
Rfam family: Bacterial small subunit ribosomal RNA
Source: RNAcentral